Molecule: ribosomal RNA, 628 nt
Filed under: Rhodotorula mucilaginosa
Lineage: Eukaryota; Fungi; Basidiomycota; Microbotryomycetes; Sporidiobolales; Sporidiobolaceae
Description: eukaryotic LSU rRNA
Rfam family: 5.8S ribosomal RNA (bases 193-346)
Source: RNAcentral
AUGAUCCUUCCGUAAGGGGAACCUGCGGAAGGAUCAUUAGUGAAUAUAGGACGUCCAACUUAACUUGGAGUCCGAACUCUCACUUUCUAACCCUGUGCAUUUGUUUGGGAUAGUAACUCUCGCAAGAGGGCGAACUCCUAUUCACUUAUAAACACAAAGUCUAUGAAUGUAUUAAAUUUUAUAACAAAAUAAAACUUUCAACAACGGAUCUCUUGGCUCUCGCAUCGAUGAAGAACGCAGCGAAAUGCGAUAAGUAAUGUGAAUUGCAGAAUUCAGUGAAUCAUCGAAUCUUUGAACGCACCUUGCGCUCCAUGGUAUUCCGUGGAGCAUGCCUGUUUGAGUGUCAUGAAUACUUCAACCCUCCUCUUUCUUAAUGAUUGAAGAGGUGUUUGGUUUCUGAGCGCUGCUGGCCUUUAGGGUCUAGCUCGUUCGUAAUGCAUUAGCAUCCGCAAUCGAACUUCGGAUUGACUUGGCGUAAUAGACUAUUCGCUGAGGAAUUCUAGUCUUCGGACUAGAGCCGGGUUGGGUUAAAGGAAGCUUCUAAUCAGAAUGUCUACAUUUUAAGAUUAGAUCUCAAAUCAGGUAGGACUACCCGCUGAACUUAAGCAUAUCAAUAAGCCGGGAGGAA